UGGGGAAUAUUGGACAAUGGGCGAAAGCCUGAUCCAGCCAUGCCGCGUGUGUGAAGAAGGUCUUCGGAUUGUAAAGCACUUUAAGUUGGGAGGAAGGGCAGUAAGUUAAUACCUUGCUGUUUUGACGUUACCAACAGAAUAAGCACCGGCUAACUUCGUGCCAGCAGCCGCGGUAAUACGAAGGGUGCAAGCGUUAAUCGGAAUUACUGGGCGUAAAGCGCGCGUAGGUGGUUUGGUAAGAUGGAUGUGAAAGCCCCGGGCUCAACCUGGGAACUGCAUCCAUAACUGCCUGACUAGAGUACGGUAGAGGGUGGUGGAAUUUCCUGUGUAGCGGUGAAAUGCGUAGAUAUAGGAAGGAACACCAGUGGCGAAGGCGACCACCUGGACUGAUACUGACACUGAGGUGCGAAAGCGUGGGGAGCAAACA
RNAcentral lists this ribosomal RNA (427 nucleotides) under uncultured bacterium. Its description in RNAcentral is "partial 16S ribosomal RNA". It matches the Rfam family "Bacterial small subunit ribosomal RNA", at positions 355 to 774 of the family's 1533-position model. The record is from RNAcentral.